AUCUUUCUCUCUCUCUCUCUCUCUCUCUCUCUCUCUCUCUCUCUCUCCU
This 49-nucleotide small RNA is filed under the name Sinorhizobium meliloti 2011. RNAcentral describes it as "putative ncRNA". Lineage: Bacteria; Pseudomonadati; Pseudomonadota; Alphaproteobacteria; Hyphomicrobiales; Rhizobiaceae. The record is from RNAcentral.